UCGAGAAUCUUCCGCAAUGGGCGCAAGCCUGACGGAGCGACGCCGCGUGCGGGAUGAAGGCCUUCGGGUUGUAAACCGCUGUCAGAGGGGAGCAAAUGCAUCAGGGUUAUCCCUGUUGUUUGAGCUAUCCUCAGAGGAAGUCCGGGCUAAGUUCGUGCCAGCAGCCGCGGUAAGACGAACCGGACGAACGUUAUUCGGAAUCACUGGGCUUAAAGAGUGCGUAGGCGGCUUGGCAGGUUGGGUGUGAAAGCCCUCGGCUCAACCGAGGAAUUGCGCUCAAAACCGCCAGGCUUGAGGGAGGCAGAGGUGAGCGGAACUGAUGGUGGAGCGGUGAAAUGCGUUGAUAUCAUCAGGAACACCAGUGGCGAAGGCGGCUCACUGGGCCUCUUCUGACGCUGAGGCACGAAAGCUAGGGGAGCGAACGGGAUUAGAUACCCCGGUAGUCC
RNAcentral lists this ribosomal RNA (446 nucleotides) under uncultured prokaryote. Its description in RNAcentral is "bacterial SSU rRNA". It matches the Rfam family "Bacterial small subunit ribosomal RNA", at positions 355 to 796 of the family's 1533-position model. The record is from RNAcentral.